AUGCAGAUAUAUACUCAAAAUAUGCAUGCAAUAGGUCGUCUCGAGGCUGGAAGAAAGACCGAUUUGGAUUAUCAUACCAAGACAAGUGCUGGUGAUAUCAAUGAAAGCAAGUUCAGUGUGAAGUUUUGUGUCCCAAAGAAAUGUGGUUCACCUGAUUCACCACAUGGAGUAGACUGCUACUGCUGCCUCAACAAGCCCGAUGCCCCGUGUUUCGCCACAAGUGAUGAGUGCCAGAAAAAGUGUCCUCCUUGCAAUCCCAUCUGCGCUCUUUCGGAUGCGGACCGAGUGCAAGCUUGUUUAAAUACAGAUCUGUAUUGCAAAAAUAAGUACUGAUAUGUUCUACUCCUUCAGUCCCAAAAUUCUUGUCUUAGAUUUAUUCAAAUAAAGAUGUAUCAAGUCACGUUUUACUAUUAGAUACUCCAUCCGUUCGGAAUUACUUGUCUCGGAAAUGAAUGUAUCUAGAACUAAAAUAUGUCUAGAUACAUCCAUUUCUGCGACAAGUAAUUCCGAGCGGAUGGAGUACAUUCGUAUCUAGACAAAUUUAGGAAAAGAAUUUUGGGACAGAGGGAGUAUUUCUUUUCUUUUUUGCAAGAAGAUGUGUUCUAUUUUUCUUAUAAGGCAUAAUUGGUUUUUGUUUGACUCAAGCAACAAUUUCUUUUUCUUUACCAAAAUGAUCUUAGAUUGUCAUAUUUUCUUGGAUGGUUCUACCCAUGCAUGAUCUUAGUUAUCAUAUCUUUGCAAAAAAGAUUUUUUACGGUACAUCAUACUAUCAAAUUUAAGGUGCAGUAUUUUUUUUGUACAUCAGUACAGACACAAGCGCUCAUAUACACGCGCAUACACUCACCCCUAUGAACGCACACAUGCACACCCUACCCCUAUGAGCACCUUUAAAAGACUGAGCCGGCAUAUCAUCUUGAGAUUUACGAAGUCACGUAGGCGCCUCGUCGUCGACGGAAACGUCUCCUCCCACUGAAUGCGCAUCGCCGAAAAUCCUGAAAUAAAUCCAGGAAUAAAUGCGAGCACCAGGAUUUGAACCAUAGUGGGCUGGGGAUACCGUCCCUCUGACCAUCCAACCACAGAUUGGUUCGCAGGUGUAGUAUUAAGAUGAUACAACGAAGACUGAUAUUGUUCAGCUCAAAGAUUGGUUUGAGGUUUUUCUUUAUUUAAGGAGGUUUUAUAGCUUGGCAAUUUGCUAAAUGUUUCGUCUCUCUGUAGACUCUAGCCGGCACACGAUCUGUUUAGAGCCUCCGGUCAAACGAGCAGGGAAACAGAAUACACCCCAGGCAUUUUUUCGGCACCGGCGCCUGAAAAUCGGCCCAGUCGCGUCCCCAGGAGCCCGUUUUUUGCCGGUUUUGAUCGAAACUGGCGCCGGCGGACCCAGGCCGAACCCGGUGUGCUGGGGGGCGUCUGGGGGCGCUGGGGGGUGCGUUUUUGGCGUGAAAGGGGAUGGGCCUGCCGAGUCAUCAAGAUGCAGCCGCUGGUCAGCCACCAUUGAUGCCUCACGGGCGGCGCAGUGAAGGCGCCACCGACGCGCGUACCGCCUGCUCCCGCCAUGCGUCGCCUGGCAUGUAGGCUCUCGCCGCCCCGCUGCGGCUAUAAAAGCCGGCCUCCCGCCUGGUAGCCACACAUCGCCUCGCAUCGCCACACAAAGCAACACACUCUCCCUUCAUGCCAUCUCCAAGAGCCGGAGGCGCGCCUCCUCUACUAGGCCGAAUAUCCGCUGCCCCCGGACAUGUGUGUGCCGGGGUCGUGGAAAUUGAGCGCCGGCGGCGUCCCAGUGCCACCGGUUCCCAAAGGGGUUGCACGGAGGUCCGAGAUCGCCUGCAUCCGCUCGUCGCUGACGGAGGCACAGCGGAACGAGCCGAGAUACGCUGCCGACAGCCACACGCUGUGGACGAUGUUCUUCGAGCGCCGCCGCGAAGAGCAGAUCGCCUCCGCCAACAGCAUCAUCCCCCGCGGACGCCACAACGCCGACGGGCGGCGCGAGUGGUGGGGCAUGCCCGGCCGCACCCUCGAGGCCGUCCUCGACCACAUCGAGACUGGUAACACGCCGCGCCUCGACCCUCGAGUACCCGCCGCGACUGUCCUUCUCUCGCCGUCGUGGCAGCUCCUGGACGCCGCGGUGAAUGGAGUCGGGAGCGUCCUCCUUGUCGGGCUCCGGCUCACUCUCCUCGGGCUCGCCGGCGCUCCGCCCCGUCAAGCCGGAAGAGACGCCGCACCGACGCCACACCCGCAUCGGCACCCUCGUCAUUAAUGAGGGCGCCAGCCCCUCCCCGCGCUCCCUCUGCCUGGUCCGACCAAAGCCCGAGCCGGGGUUGCUCCCCGUGAAGCUGGAGCACGCGACCAUGGUGGCCCCCGACGAAGAGGCCGUCCUCAAGUGGGCGGGGGAGUACUACGUCCGUGAGGAGGUGCUCUGCCAGCGCCGGGCGUACAAGGAGCUCCAGGCCCGGCGCCGCGGACGCGAGGAGGAUGGCGUUAGUGCCGGACGCAAGGAGGGUGGCGUCAUCGUCCUCGACAGCGACGAGGAGAAUGAGGCCGGCCCAUCCAACCCACCACCGCGCGUCGGCUACCCUGGCCAGGGGUGCAGUAGGGACGGAGGCGGCUCCGGCGGGGCGCGCGACGACGACGACAACUACACCCGUUUCUACACGCUUCUCGGCAUGUAGAUGGCGAGCGGUGGCCGCGGCAUAGCAGGGAUAGGCGUAGUUUGGCAUAGUUGUAGGUGUAGUUUGCAUGUUAAUCUGUUUUUUACAAAUUUCGAUAAAGUAUCGCCGAGUUUGUGCCAGAUCGCCAAGUUUUGUAGAAAUUUGGAUGAAAUAUCGCCGAAUACACGCGACUUUGGCGGCGAUCUGGGGACAUCGACUGGGACCGCAGUCGCCCCCACGCGCCAAGCCAACGCCGGUUCAGCCCCGGACGGCUCUUUUUCGGCGUCCUGGGGACCGAACGGCUGGAGAUGCUCUAAGACAAGUGCAGACCCGCCCAUCCUGUUGAACCGCCGCCGAAGGUCGAUGAAGCGGACGACAACAUUGGCCGCUGCUCGCCAUCUCCAUCAACACCAACAAAUAAGAUAUUUGGAAUUCCGGAGCUUGUUAUGCAAAACUGUAAUUCGGGAGCAGCGGGCCCAAAAUGAAAGCGGGGCAAGGCACCACUGGUCUUGCCCAAAUGUGGCGCCCCAAAAGCGACCAGCUGCGAACCAAACUGUGGUUGAAUGGUUAGAGGGACCGUGGUAUUCCCAACCCAUCAGGGUUCAAGUCCUGGUGCUCGCAUUUAUUCCUGUAUUUAUUUCAGGAUUUCCGGCUAUGUGCAUUUAGUGGGAGGAGACAAGGUGCCUACGGCGACUUCGUAAAUUUUAAGAUGAUAUGCCGGCUCAGUCUUUCGAAGGUGCUCAUAGGGAUAAGGUGUGCAUGUGUGCGUUCAUAGGGGUGAGUGUGUGCGCGUGUAUAUGAGCGUUUGCGUCUUUACUUUGUUAAAAAAAAAGCGACCAGCUAUGCAUGUACCCUCUGGCCAACAUGCAUUUCACACCUGUUCCUAGAAUCAUGGAAUGAAUUACUCACAAUAUGAUCUAAAUUGAACGUACGUAGAAAAGAAAUCUUGAUAAAUUUUACAAGCUUAGCAAAAGUAGGCAAUGCUGAUGAAUUGUUAGCCAUCAGCGCUCAAAUCCCGACACCGCACUAGGACUUUAUACUCUGUUUGGAUCAUCAUGGGUUUUAAGAUAAAAUGACCGCACUCACCUUUUGGUCAAGAACUAAUCGUGCUUAUGCUACAAAAGCAACAUCCAUAUCAAUGGCUCUAUGCAUACCUUGCCGGAACCGUGCUAGACGGCUAAUUUGACUUAGGGAAGACUCACUUGGCAGAGCACGGCAAUAUGACCCGAAUUGUCACGCGUGCCAAAGCUGAUGGGGUCAAACUAGAGCUAGAAUCAAAGACGGUCCAGUGUUUUACUUAGAGCAUCAACAGCCAGGCACCCCAAACCCGCCUCAAACACCCGGGCAGGCCGCCCGGGUGUGCGUCGGUCACGAAAUUUUGACCCAGAUUGACGCCUCAAAUGGGCCACGAACGCUUAGAUUGACCGGCACCCCUCACAUCCAGUCUAAAUAUAGGGCGGAUAUGGAAGCGCCCGAGUGCGUCUGCCGCAUCAGACCCGGCCCACGCUGGCCCACCUGAUCCCACAUAUAUUCAUUCCCAUUCGCUCGCCGGACCAACAGUAGCUACUUCCCUCCACUCCCCUCCGCCACUCAAGCUCCCGUCCGACGGUCUCCAUCCGUCUCCGGCAUGGCGGGCAGCAGAUCUGAGUCCUUCACCUUAGCUCAUCCCACGCAGCUCCGAGGAGGAGACGGCCGUCCGGCUUUCGCUUCGUCGCUCCCGGGAGGAGGCCCGUGCACGACAGCGCUCGGACUCCUUUCGUCGGGAAUCCAUUACGUCCGCCCAAAUGGCGUAUGUAUCCGACGCGAGGUGUGCCAUCACUGCAUCGUCGGAAGCGAUGCGGUCCGUCUGGCGUCUGCUACAUCUUGAGCAUGCGUUGGGUUUUCCCUUGAGGAGGAAAGGGUGAUGCAGCAAAGUAGCGUGAGUAUUUCCCUCAGUUUUGAUAACCAAGGUAUCAAUCCAGUAAGAGGCUCCUCCCAAGUCCCACGCGACUACACAAACAAACAAGAACCUCGCAACCAACGCGAUAAAGGGGUUAUCAAUCCCUUCACGGCCACUUGCGAAAGUGAGAUCUGAUAGAGAUAAUAUGAUAAGAUAAAUAUUUUUGAUAUUUUUAUGAUAUAGAUUGAAAAGUAAAGAUUGCAAAAUAAAGUAGAUUGGAAAGUUAUAUGAUAGAGAAUAGACCCGGGGGCCAUAGGUUUCACUAGUGGCUUCUCUCAAGAUAGCAUAAUUAUUAGGUGAGUGAACAAAUUAUUGUCGAGCAAUUGAUAGAAAAGUGCAUAGUUAUGAGAAUAUCUAGGCAUGAUCAUGUAUGUAGGCAUCACGUCCGCAACAAGUAGACCGACUCCUGCCUGCAUCUACUACUAUUACUCCACACAUUGAGCAACUCCUGCCUGCAUCUAGAGUAUUAAGUUCAUGAAGAACAGAGUAACGCAUUAAGCAAGAUGACAUGAUAUAGAGGGAUAAACUUAAGCAAUAUGAUAUAAACCCCAUCUUUUUAUCCUCGAUGGCAACAAUACAAUACAUGCCUUGCUGCCCCUGCUGUUAUUGGGAAAGGGCGCCGCAAGAUUGAACCCAAAGCUAAGCACUUCUCCCAUUGCAAGAAAGAUCAAUCUAGUAGGCCAAACCAAACUGAUAAUUCGAAGAGACUUGCAAAGAUAACCAAUCAUACAUAAAAGAAUUCAGAGGAGAUUCAAAUAUUUCUCAUAGAUAAACUUGAUCAUAAACCCACAAUUCAUCGGAUCUCGACAAACACACCGCAAAAAGAGUUACAUCGAAUAGAUCUACAAGAAGAGGAAGGAGAACUUUGUAUUGAGAAUCAAAGAGAGAGAAGAAGUCAUCUAGCUAAUAACUAUGGACCCGAAGGUCUAUGGUAAACUACUCACAACUCAUAGGAGAGGCCCUCCGUGGUCGAUUCCCCCUCCGACGGAGUGCCGGCGAAGGCUCCAAGAUGGGAUCUCGUAGAUACAGAAGGUUGCGGCGGUGGAAAUAGUUUUUCGUGCUGCUCCUGGAUGGUUUCGGGGUACGAAGAUAUAUAUAGGCGAAGGAGGUAGGUCGGUUGAGCCACGAGGGGCCCACGAGGGUGGGGGACGCGCCCACCCCCUUAGGGCGUGUCGGGCACCCUCGUGGCCGCCUCGUUUGUUGCUUGACGUCCACUCCAAGUCCCCUGAAUUGCGUUUGUUUCAAAAAGAUCGCUCCCAAAGGUAUCAUUCCGUUUGGACUCCGUUUGAUAUUCCUUUUCUGCGAAACACUGAAAUAGGCAAAAAAUAGCAAUUCGGGCUGGGCCUCCGGUUAGUAAGUUAGUCACAAAAAUGAUAUGAAAGUGUAAAGUAAAGCCCAUAAACAUCCAAAACAGGUAAUAUAAUAGCAUGAAACAAUCAAAAAUUAUAGAUACGUUGGAGACGUAUCAAGCAUCCCCAAGCUUAAUUCCUAUUUGUCCUCGAGUAGGUCAAUGAUAAAAACAGAAUUUUUGAUGUGGAAUGCUACCUAGCAUAUUUCUCAAUGUAUUUUUCUUUAUUGUGGCAUGAAUGUUCAGAUCCAAAUGAUUCAAAAUAAAAGUUCAUAUUGAUAAAAUAAUAAUGAUACUUCAAGCAUACUAACUAAGCAAUCAUGUCUUCUGAAAAUAACAUGGCAAAGAAAAGUUCAUCCCUACAUAAUCAUAUAGUUUGGUCAUGCUCCAUUUUCAUUACACAAGAAUGCUCUCAUCAUGCACAACCCCGAUGACAAGCCAAGCAAUUGUUUCAUACUUUGGUAAUCUCAAACUUUUUUCAACCUUCACGCAAUACAUGAGCGUGAGCCAUGGAUAUAGCACUAUGGGUGGAAUAGAAUAUAAUGAUAGUGGUUAUGUGGAGAAGACAAAAAAGGAGAAAGUCUCACAUCGACACGGCUAAUCAACGGGCUAGGGAGAUGCCCAUCAAUUGAUGUCAAUGCAAGGAGUAGGGAUUGCCAUGCAACGAAUGCACUAGAGCUAUAAAUGUAUGAAAGCUCAACAAAAGAAACUAAGUGGGUGUGGAUCCAACUUGCUUGCUCAUGAAGACCUAGGGCAUUUUGAGGAAGCCCAUCGUUGGAAUAUACAAGCCAAGUUCUCUAAUGAAAGAAUCCCACUUAGUAAAUAAAAGUGACAACAUAGAAGACUUUCUAUCAUAAAGACCAUGGUGCUAUUUUGAGCACAAGUGUGGAAAAAGAUAGUAGCAUUGUCCCCCUUUUUUUGGGCCUUUCUUUUUUUGGCCUUUUUUUGCCUUUCUUUUUUUUGGCCUUUCCUUUUUCUUUUUUUUAUUAGGGACAACGCUCUAAACAUGAUGAUCAUCACACUUCUAUUUACUUACAACUCGAUACUAGAACAAAAUAUGACUCUAUAUGAAUGCCUCCGACGGUGUACCGGGUGAUGCGAUGACUCAAGAGUGACAUGUAUAAAAAAAUUAUGCAUGGUGGCUUUGCCACAAAUACGAUGUCAACUACAUGAUCAUGCAAAUAGCAAUAUAACAAUGAUGAAGCGUGUCAUAAUAAACGGAACGUUGGAAAGUUGCAUGGCAAUAUAUCUCGGAGUGGUUAUGGAAAUGCCAUAAUAGGUAGGUAUGGUGGCUGUUUUGAGGAAGAUAUAAGGAGGUUUAUGUGUGAUAGAGCGUAUCAUAUCACGGGGUUUGGAUGCACCGGCGAAGUUUGCACCAACUCGCAAGGUGAGAAAGGGCAAUGCACGGUACCGUAGAGGCUAGCAAUGAUGGUAAGGUAAAAGUGCGUAUAAUCCAUGGACUCCAAUGCACGGUACCGUAGAGACUAGCUCGUUGAUCAACAGAUGGUCAUGGUUUCCUGACUAUGGACAUUGGAUGUCAUUGAUAACGAGAUCACAUCAUUACGAGAAUGAUGUGAUGGACAAGACCCAAUCCUAAGCAUAGCACAAGAUGUGUAGUUCGUUUUCUAAAGCUUUUCUAAUGUCAAGUAUCAGUUCCUUAGACCAUGAGAUUGUGUAACUCCCGGAUACCGUAGGAGUGCUUUGGGUGUACCAAACUUCACAACGUAACUGGGUGACUAUAAAGGUGCACUACAGGUAUCUCCAAAAGUAUCUAUUGGGUUGGCACGAAUCAAGACUGGGAUUUGUCACUCCGUAUGACGGAGAGGUAUCUCUGGGCCCACUCGGUAAUGCAUCAUCAUAAUGAGCUCAAUAUGACUAAGUGGUUAGUCACGGGAUCAUGCAUUAUGUAACGAGUAAAGUGACUUGUCGGUAACGAGAUUGAACGAGGUAUUGGGAUACCGACGAUCGAAUCCCGGGCAAGUAACGUACCGAUUGAUAAAGGGAAUUGUAUACGGGAUUACCUGAAUCCUCGACAUCGUGGUUCAUCCGAUGAGAUCAUCGUGGAACACGUGGGAGCCAACAUGGGUAUCCAGAUCCCGCUGUUGGUUAUUGGCCAGAGAGCUGUCUCGGUCAUGUCUACGUGAUUCCCGAACCCGUAGGGUCUACACACUUAAGGUUCGAUGACGCUAGGGUUAUUAGGAAGACUUUUAUGUGAUUACCGAAUGUUGUUUGGAGUCCCGGAUGAGAUCCCGGACGUCACGAGGAGUUCUGGAAUGGUCCAGAGGUGAAGAUCUAUAAAUGGGAAGUUGUCAUACGGUCACCAGAAAAGUUCGGGGGCAUACCGGUAUUGUACCGGGGCCACCGGAAGGGUUCCGGGGGUCCACCGGGAGGGGCCACCUCUCUCGGAGGGCCUCAUGGGCCAUAGUGCGAAGGGAACCAGCCCUUGGAGGGCUGGGCGCAUCCCCCCCUUGGGCCCAUGCGCCUAGGGUUGGGGGGGAAACCCUAAAGGGGGCGCCCCCCUUGCUUGGGGGGCAAGUUCCCCCCUUUCCCCCCCUCUAGAUCUCAUCUAGAGGGGGACGGCCCCCUUCCCCCUCCUCCUAUAAAUAGAGGGGCGAGGGGAGGGCUGCAGUACCACACGUAAGGUGCAUCCCCUCCCCUCCCCAACACCUCUCCUCCUCCGUAAGAGCUUGGUGAAGCCCUGCCGGAGUACUACCUCUCCAUCACCACCACGCCGUCGUGCUACUGUUGGAGCCUCUUCCUCAACCUCUCCCUCCUCCUUGCUGGAUCAAGGCGCGGGAGACGUCACCGGGCUGCACGUAUGUUGAACGUGGAGGUGCCGUUGUUCGGCGCUAAGAUCGGAGUCCACCGCGAUCUGAAUCGCUUCGAGUACGACUCCCUCAUCCACGUUCUUGUAACGCUUCCGUCUUGCGGUCUUCAAGGGUAUGAAGAUGAACUCCUCUCUCUCUCUCUCUCUCUCUCUCUCUCUCUCUCUCUCGUUGCUAGUUGCUCCAUAGAUUGAUCUUGGUGAUGCGUAGAAAAAAUUUAUUUUCUGCAACGAUCUUCAACAGCUCGUCCCCGGCCGCCACUCAUAAGGUUGACAAUCAAAUAACACCUCAUGCUUCAAAUUUGUCACACAACGGUUACCAUACGUGCAUGCUACGGGACUUGCAAACCUCAACACAAGUAUUUCUUAAAUUCACAAUUACAUCAACUAGCAUGACUCUAAUAUUACCACCUUCAUAUCUCAAAACAAUUAUUAAGCAUCAACUAGCAUGACUGUAAUAUUCACUUCUUAUGAUAGUUUUGAUUAGACCCAACUUAGAUGCCCACCAUUCUAGGACCAAUUUUAUAACCAUAGCAAACACCAUGCUGUUCUAAAAUACUCUCAAAAUAAUAUAAGUGAAGCAUGAGAGAUCAAUAAUUUCUACAAAAUAAAAUCACCACCGUGCUCUAAAAAGAUGUAAGUGAAGCACUAGAGCAAAACUGCAUAGCUCAAAAGAUAUAAGUGAAGCACAUAGAGUAUUCUAAUAAAUUCCGAAUCAUGUGUGUCUCUCCCAAAAGGUGUGUACAGCAAGGAUGAUUGUGGUAAACUAAAAAGAAAAGACUCAUAUCAUACAAGACGCUCCAAGCAAAACACAUAUCAUGUGGUAAAUCAAAAUAUAGAUCCAAGUAAAGUUACCGACAGACGAAGACGAAAGAGGGGAUGCCUUCCGGGGCAUCCCCAAGCUUAGGCUUUUGAUUGUCCUUAAAUAUAUUGGGGUGCCAUGGGCAUCCCCAAUCUUAGGCUUUUUCCACUCCUUAUUCCAUAGUCCAUCAAAUCUUUACCCAAAACUUGAAAACUUCACAACACAAAACUCAACAGAAAAUCUCAUGAGAUCCGUUAGUGCAAGAAAGAAAAACCACCACUUAAGGUACUGUAAUGAACUCUUUCUUUAUUUAUAUUGGUGUUAAACCUACUGUAUUCCAACUUCUCUAUGAUUCAUACCCCCCGAUACUGGCCAUAGAUUCAUCAAAAUAAGCAAACAACACACGAAAAACAGAAUCUGUCAAAAACAGAACAGUCUGUAGCAAUCUGUAACUUUCGGAUACUUCUGGACCCUAAAAAUCCUACCAAAUAGGAAGUCCUAGGUAAUUUAUCUAUUGAUCUACUGCAAAAAUAAUCAACUCAAAAUCACGUUUCUGUCAUUUAUUGAUUUUUUUCUCGUGAGCGCAAAGUUUCUGUUUUUCAGAAGAAUCAAAUUAACUUUCACCCAAGAUGAUCCUAUAAGUUCUACUUGGCACAAACAUUAAUUAAAACAUAAAACCACAUCUAAUCAGAGGCUAGAUGAAUUGUUUAUUACUAAAGAGGAACAAAAAGCAAGCAACAAAAAUAAAAUUGGGUUGCCUCCCAACAAGCGCUAUCGUUUAACGCCCCUAGCUAGGCAUAAAAGCGAGAAUAGAUCUAAGUAUUGCCAUCUUUGGCAUUCAAUUCAUAAGUGGCUCGCAUGAUAGAUUCAUAAGGUAAUUUAAUUUUCUUUCUAGGAAAGUGUUCCAUGCCUUUACUUAACGGAAAUUGGAAUCUAAUAUUUCAUUCCUUCAUAUCAAUAAUUGCACCAAUCGUUCUAAGGAAAGGUCUACCAAGAAUAAUAGGAUAUGAAAGAUUGCAAUCUAUAUCAAGAAUGAUAAAAUCUACGAGAACAUAAUUCCUAUUUGCAACAAUAAGAACAUCAUUAAUCCUUCCCAUAGGUUUCUUAAUUGUGAAAUCCGCAAGGUGCAAGUUUAAAGAGCAAUCAUCAAAUUCACGGAAACCAAGCAUAUCACAUAAAGUUUUUGGAAUCAUGGAAACACUAGCACCCAAAUCACACAAAGCAUAUCAUUCAUGAUCUUUUAUUUUAAUUUUUAUUGUAGGUUCCCGCUCAUCAUAAUAUUUUCUAGGGAUAGAAACUUCUAAUUCAAGUUUUUCUUCAUAAGAUUGCAUCAAAGCAUCAACGAUGUGUUUAGUAAAAGCUUUAUUUUGGCUAUAAGCAUGAGGAGAAUUCAACACGAAUUGCAACAAGGAAAUACAUCUAUUAAAGAACAAUUAUCAUAAUUAAAUUCCUUGAAAUCCAAAGUAGUGGUUUCAUUACUAUGUAAAGUUUUAAUCUCUCCAAUCCCACUUUUACCAAUUUUAGCAUCAAGAUCAAAAUACUCCAAAUCAUUGGAAUGCCUUUUAACUAGGUUGACUCAUCUCCAGUCCCAUUAUUAUUAAGAUUCAUAUUCCAAAACAGGGAUUUAAUAGGAGAAACAUCAAUAACUUUUAGAUAUUCAUCGUUAUUAUCAUGAAAACUAGAAGAACACGCUCUUACAAAGGAAUUUUUCUUAGCACGCAUCCUAGCGGUUCUUUCUUUGCACUCAUCAAUGGAAAUUCUCAUGGCUUUGAGAGGCUCAUUGAUAUCAUGCUUAGGUGGAAUAGAUCUAAGUUUCAAAGAAUCAACAUCAAGAGAAAUUCUAUCCACGUUCCUAGCCAAUUCAUCAACUUUGAGUAAUUUUUCUUCAAGCAAAGUAUUGAAAUUCUUUUGAGAAUUCAUAAAUUCUUUAACACUAAUCUCAAAUCAGAGGGCAUCUUAUUAAAAUUUCCACAAGAGUUGUUGUAGGAAAUACCAUAAUUAUUAGAGGAAUUACGAGGAAACGGCCUAGGAUUAAAGUUUACUCUAUAAGAGUUGUUACCAAAAUUAUUCCUACCAAAAAAAUUCACAUCCAUAGGUUCAUUAUUAUUCUCAAUCAAAGUAGACAAAGGCAUAUCAUUAGGAUCAAUAGUGGCGUUUUUAGUAGCAAACAAUUUCAUCAGUUCAUCCAUCUUUCCACUCAAAACAUUAAUUUCUUCUAUAGCAUGAACCUUUUUACUAGUAGAUCUUUCGGUGUGCCAUUGAGAAUAAUUAACCAUAAUAUUAUCUAGUAGUUUAGUAGCUUCUCCUAAAUUGAUUUUCAUAAAAGUGCCUCCCGUGGCCGAAUCUAAAAGAUUUCUAGAAGCAAAAUUCAAACCGGCAUAAAAAUUUUGUAUGAUCAUCCAUAAAUUCAAACCAUGUGUAGGGCAAUUACGUAUCAUUAAUUUCAUCCUCUCCCAAGAUUGUGAAACAUGCUCAAGAUCAAGUUGCUUAAAAUUCAUAAUAUCGUUUCUAGGAGAGAUGAUCUUAGCGGGAGGAAAAUACUUAGAGAUAAAAACAUCUUUGCACUUAUUCCACGAAUCAAUACUAUUUUUAGGCAAAGACGAAAACCAAGUUUUAGCAUGAUCUCUAAGUGAAAACGAAGAUAACUUCAAUUUAACAAUAUCAUUAUCCAUGUCUUUUUUCUUCUGCAUAUCGCACAAAUCAACGAAGUUGUUUAGAUGAGUAGCGACAUCUUCACUAGAAAGGACGGAGAAUUGAUCUUUCAUAACAAGAUUCAACAAAGCAGCGUUGAUUUCACAAGAUUCAACAUCAUUAAGAGGGGCAAUCGGAGUGCUAAGGAAAUCAUUAUUAUUGCUUUUAGAAAAGUCACACAAUUUAGUAUUAUCUUGAGCUAUUGUGACAAGCAAUCCAACACACAAGCACACAAGAGGCAAGCAAAAAAGAGGCAAAUGGAAAANNNNNNNNNNNNNNNNNNNNNNNNNNNNNNNNNNNNNNNNNNNNNNNNNNNNNNNNNNNNNNNNNNNNNNNNNNNNNNNNNNNNNNNNNNNNNNNNNNNNNNNNNNNNNNNNNNNNNNNNNNNNNNNNNNNNNNNNNNNNNNNNNNNNNNNNNNNNNNNNNNNNNNNNNNNNNNNNNNNNNNNNNNNNNNNNNNNNNNNNNNNNNNNNNNNNNNNNNNNNNNNNNNNNNNNNNNNNNNNNNNNNNNNNNNNNNAAAUAAUGUAAUGCGAGGAAGAUGAGUUUGUGAUGGGUACUUGGUAUGUCUUGACUUGAGCGAAGACCUCCCCGGCAACAGCGCCAGAAAUCCUUCUUGCUACCUCUUGAGCAGGCGUUGGUUUUUCCCUUGAAUAGGAAAGGGUGAUGCAGCGAAGUAGCGUAAGUAUUUCUCUCAGUUUUGAGAACCAAGGUAUCAAUCCAGUAGGAGGCUCCUCCCAAGUCUCACCGCCUACACAAACAAACAAGAACCUCGCAACCAACGCAAUAAAGGGGUUGUCAAUCUCUUCACGGCCACUUGCGAAAGUGAGAUCUGAUAGAGAUAAUAUGAUAAGAUAAAUAUUUUUGGUAUUUUUAUGAUAUAGAUUGAAAAGUAAAGAUUGCAAAAUAAAGUAGUUUGUAAACUUAUAUGAUAGAGAAUAGACCCGGGGGCCAUAGGUUUCACUGGUGGCUUCUCUCAAGAUAGCAUAAUUAUUACGAUGGGUGAACAAAUUACUGUCGAGCAAUUGAUAGAAAAGUGCAUAGUUAUGAGAAUAUCUAGGCAUGAUCAUGUAUAUAGGCAUCACAUCCGCAACAAGUAGACCGACUCCUGCCUGCAUCUACUACUAUUACUCCACACAGCAACCGACUCCUGCCUGCAUCUAGAGUAUUAAGUUCAUGAAGAACAGAGUAAUGCAUUAAGCAAGAUGACAUGAUAUAGAGGGAUAAACUCAAGCAAUAUGAUAUAAACCCCAUAUUUUUAUCCUCAAUACAAUACGUGCCUUGCUGCCCGUGCUGUCACUGGGAAAGUACACCGCAAGAUUGAACCCAAAGCUAAGCACUUCUCCCAUUGCAAGAAAGUUCAAUCUAGUAGGCCAAACCAAACUGAUAAUUCGAAGAGACUUGCAAAGAUAACCAAUCAUACAUAAAAGAAUUCAGAGGAGAUUCAAAUAUUUCUCAUAGAUAAACUUGAUCAUAAACCCACAAUUCAUCGGAUCUCGACAAACACAGCGCAAAAAGAGUUACAUCGAAUAGAUCUCUAAGAAGAGGAAGGAGAACUUUGUAUUGAGAAUCAAAGAGAGAGAAGAAGUCAUCUAGCUAAUAACUAUGGACCCGAAGUUCUAUGGUAAACUACUCACAACUCAUAGGAGAGGCUUUGGUGAUGAUGGAGAGGCCCUCCAUGGUCGAUUCCCCCUCCGACGGAGCACCAACGAAGGCUCCAAGAUGGGAUCUCGCGGAUACAGAAGGUUGCGAUGGUGGAAAUAGUUUUUCGUGGUGCUCCUGGAUGGUUUCGCGGUACGAAGAUAUAUAUAGGCAAAGGAGGUAGGUCGGUUGAGCCACGAGGGGCCACGAGGGUGGGAGGCGCGCCCACCCCCUUAGGGCACGCUGGGCACCCUCGUGGCCGCCUCGUUUGUUGCUUGACGUCCACUCCAAGUCCCCUGGAUUGUGUUUGUUCCAAAAAGAUCGCUCCCGAAGGUUUCAUUCCAUUUGGACUCCGUUUGGUAUUCCUUUUCUGCGAAACACUGAAAUAGGCAAAAAAACAGCAAUUCGGGCUGGGCCUCCGGUUAGUAGGUUAGUCCCAAAAAUGAUAUAAAAGUAUAAAGUAAAGCCCAUAAACAUCCAAAACAGGUAAUAUAAUAGCAUGGAACAAUCAAAAAUUAUAGACACGUUGGAGACGUAUCAGCGUCCGAACGUGGUGGCGGACGUGCAACCCCUCUGUUGGCGCGACGAACAUUGGGACACACCAUGGGUGUCGUCCGACGAAAAUAUGGCACGGCGUGCCCAUCGUGUGAGGCAGCGGGCGCGGGAGGCAGUGGCAGCCCUCGCGGCGGUGGACGUCGUCGAAGCGGUGUUGCAUUCUCCGGUGCCCCGUAUGGUGCAGCAGUCUGGGCACCGCAAAUGCGUCAUGGUGGACGUUGUUGGCUCGUCCCAGGACGGAUCCAUCAUCGAUCUAACGUCCACCGGCACCGUUCGAGUUCUGGGCUCCGACGAGGAAGAUUAGGGCAUGGGAGACAAGGCGACUUGAGUAUCGUGAGUUGGCUUGUGUCUCAUGCCCUACUCUACCUUGUCAGCGAUCGGACCAACACUCUGAGGGAUGCAGUCGGCCGCCGGACAUGGGCACGGGGAGCCGUGCGAGCUCCGCUCAAAGAUCGCAUGUAAUAAUAUGGAUUUGAUGUUUCUAAUUUGAGGUGUUCGGAUGUGGAAUGCAUUAUUUGAGGCGUGAUCGAUCACUGCCCAUGAUCGCGUCCGUACGCGCCGGCGGGCGUUUGAGGGGUCGGAUCUGUCUAGUCCGGUUGUAGAUGUUCUUAUAGAAUAUGGCUAUAUCCUCAUGCAACUUUGUGUGCUAAACGAGAGCUAGAAACUCAUUCUCAAGGUUAGCCGGCACAACAAUAAAGUCAAGAGCUGGCUGAUCAGAUCAUGCAGCUGCAAGGUUGGAUGAUGCGGGUUGAGAGCUUUCUGGAGAGGGUGGAGACUGAUGUGGACAAGCUCUCCUUAGGGCCAGCUAUAUUGUUAACCACUCUGAUGUCAUGCCCUCCUGGUGUGGCCGGUAUUGCUGCCACGGAGGAAGGAGGCCAAGAGCUAUAUGGAUGUUUCUCUCGUCAUGUUGGGGACAAUGCAUUGUCACUAUCGACCUCAUCUCCUGUGAUGCCUACCAGUGAGGGGGGCCCAUCGCCGUCCUCGAGUCUCCGGUUCUACAGAUCAUGCCCGACCUACAGGAGCUAUGUCUGAGCCCUGUUUUGCCUUUGUCUUUGGAGCACUUGGAGGUGGACUCAUUAGUGACCUCGUGUGCGGGGCAUGUUUCGCCUCUAUCAUGUGAGAAAGUGGAGGUGCCCGAGGCAAUUGUGUCAGUGGUUCCUGUAGGCGAUGUCGUCUCAGUAGUUUCUGUGGCUAAUGAUGUUGAGGCGGUCGGUAUGUUGGCGGCUGACCCUUUGGAGUCCAGCCAGUCGCUCGCCUUUGUGGACUGCGGAGGUUCCAAUGUUCCGGUCACUAACUCACGCGUGACCGUUGGGCACGUGAUGUCUUUGCGUGACAAGGUCGAUAAGAUUCUCUUCGAUUUAGAGAUUCACAGCUUGCUCAAAUGCUUAGAGGCGGCUAACCCUGGAUCUGGCAAGGCGAUUUUGGAGGAGGCUCUCAGAAACCAAAGAAAGAAGAGUGGCGCCACAGGAAAGGCGUCUGCAGCUUCUUGAUGGAUGGCCAUUAGUCUUUUGAUUAUGGUGUGGCCUGUCUUCAUGGACUUGGUGGUGCUCGUGGUCUUCAGCUGAGAUACUCUCGUUGGACGAGGAGGACUGCUCCUCCGACGAGGAGGACUGCUCCUCCGUUGUAAGCUCGUCCAUUUUGGUAGCCGCCACGAGCCCGCAGAUCCCCCACCCCCCUCUAGUAGUAGUAGUAGUAGAAUAUAGUAUGUGAUGAACUAUGAAUGAUCAGCGUGGUCGCAAUUGCUCCCGCGAAAGUUUUUUUUAAAUUAUACAGUUUCAUAUACGGGGUAUAUUCUACAGCGCAUGAUUUCGCCCUGCAAAACAGAUAUUCCUCGAACUGUAAACGCGUUAUGCGGGUCGGCAUUAUACGUGGUCUGCUAGAGAUGUUAUAAAGGUCAGCCGCCACAAUAGUAAAGUCAAGAAACUUCAAGGAUCAGUUUCGGCUUCAUAGAAGUCAAGGAAGCUUGUUAAUAGAAUAAUCAAGGAACCUUGAGCCAUUUUCUCUUCUGAAGUUUCACCAUAAGCAACCUGAGAAUUGAGCGUAGCUCAGUUGGCAAGGCAUGAGAGUUCGCAGCCAGCCCACUAGGGUUCAAGUCUCGAAAAAUGUCAACAGGCUAAUCUAGUCUGGGUUGGUCUUUUUUUUACAUAUUUGGCAACCCAAAAAAAACUUGAUUAAUUUUUUUUGAAAUUUCUAAAGUUUUUGGUAUUUUUGUGACCUUUUAUUCCUUUUUUCUAGAAUUUUGUUGACUUCCUAGUAUCUUCCUUUAAGCGGACAUUGGCAUGCGGAAUUUUAUCUAUUGAUCAAUUUCAGUGUCAUUUUUAAAUGAAUUAAUUUGUUGCGACAGUUAAGUGAAUUACUUUACAUGAACUUGAAAAAAGAGUGUCCUGGCUGGUGAGUCUACGUGUUUAACUUCUGAUUAGGCAAUCUUACCCUACCGUAUGAACCCAAUCUAAUUUGGAUUGUUGAGAUUGAUACGGUAAAUCUGAUUUGGAUUGUUGAGAUUGAUACGGUAAUGUAUCAUGCAUUGUAUAGGUGAUUAGGCAAUCUCUCCCUACCGUAUCAACCCGAUCUUUAUUUGGAUUGUAAAGAUUGAUAUGGUAAUGUAUCAUACCUUGUAUACGUGAUUAGGCAAUCUAAUCCUACCUAUUUCACGUCCUUGAACUUUGAUAGUAUAAAUCAAUCACGAGCUGAUCGCCCGAGUGUGGCGUUUCCCUCAAACCAUCUUCCACUAGUCUAUACAAUAUAAAGACAAAGAAUCAAUAUGACAAAGAGCCGCUUCGCCUACGUGAUGGCCAUCUUGUUCAUCGGCUGGGUUGCAGGGAGUGCAGAGUGUGAGUAUACAACAUCAUCACCUUCAUAUUUUGAACAAAGGCGAAUCGUUUACCUUUUCUUUUCAAUCAGUGGACCCCCAACCAAAACUUUCCCUUUCAAUUCAAACAGCAAACUGAUGCAGAUAUAUAUACUCAAAUAUGCAUGCAAUAGGUCGUCUCGAGGCUGGAAGAAAGACCGGUCUGGAUUAUCAUACCAAGACAAGUACUGCUGGUGAUAUCAAUGAAAGCAAGCUUAAUGUGAAGUUUUGUCUCCGAAAGAAAUGUGGUUCACCUGAUUCACCAUUUGGAGUAGACUGCUACUGCUGCCUCAACAAGCCCGACGCCCCGUGUUUCGCCACAAGUGACGACUGCCAGA
RNAcentral lists this long non-coding RNA (17629 nucleotides) under Triticum aestivum (bread wheat). Its description in RNAcentral is "long non-coding RNA (TAES_LNC008018)". The stretch from base 412 to 526 matches the Rfam family "MIR1120/MIR1122 microRNA precursor family". Lineage: Eukaryota; Viridiplantae; Streptophyta; Magnoliopsida; Poales; Poaceae. The record is from RNAcentral.